GGCUCGGUGGUGUAGUUGGUUAUCACGUCAGUCUAACAAGCGAUUGUUGGGCCACUGAAGGUCCCGAGUUCAAACCUCGGCUGAGUCA
This is a non-coding RNA of Exserohilum turcica Et28A, 88 nucleotides long. The record is from the annotation of a RefSeq genome assembly. NCBI's taxonomy places the organism in Eukaryota, Fungi, Ascomycota, Dothideomycetes, Pleosporales, Pleosporaceae.